Molecule: long non-coding RNA, 931 nt
Filed under: Homo sapiens (human)
Lineage: Eukaryota; Metazoa; Chordata; Mammalia; Primates; Hominidae
Description: non-protein coding lnc-ROCK2-3:13
Source: RNAcentral
AGGUUUUGUUCAGGUUUAGCACAAGCUGUGAUGAAUAUCUUCAAGCCUCUGCUUCCUGCUGUGGAAUUGUUGCCAAAGGACACAUUCCCAGAUGGGAUUACUGAGUCAGAGGAAGUGGACAUUGAGUGGCUCUCAACAGACAGGCUGUGUUGCUCUCACAGUGCCCAGCUUCCCAUGGGUGGCCAGCCGAAUGCAUUAUGGGAGAAAGCAGGUCUCGUGGAUAAUAUUUCUGAAGAUCGGAGCAGGUUGCCAGGUCCACGUCGGCCAUGACUGCAGCACGCUCCGGAGGCAGCAGGGGGCACCCUGGAGCUUCGCAUCCUCCUUCAGGCCCGCGGCAUCUCCCCUGGCUCCACCAUCCCCAGGUGUCUCAGGUUGGACGCACGGUAGUUCGCUAUGGCCAUUUCUGAUUAAAGACAGAACAAAUGGAUUGUCCGGAUACGGUGUCUGUGAAAGGAACCCAGCUGUGAGCCUCGGCAGGCAGGUGCGACAUUCUAAAUCCACAGGGAGGGCCCAGAAGGGACGCAAGAGGUCACCUGCCGUGCAGGGUGCGGGGGGUCUUGGAGGUGGGCAGCAGCUGUUCACCCGUGAGCGACGAGGAGCAUCAGCGCUUGAACAGCGGAAGCAGCAUUUACAGGUGAACACCAGCCCGAGAGGGCCGGGGGGCCCAAAGCUAUGGUGUCCAGAGCCUCCCAGCUCCCACUCUGGCCUCCAGUGGCCAUGGAAUUGCUAACUAUGAGGGCGCAAGCUUCUCCCAGCAAGUCAAGGGGAUGCUAUGUGCUGCGAUAACGGGUCCGGCCGCCUUGCCUUUGGCCUUCCAAGCCCCUCUCUGAGCCCCAGGACGUACCCACACCUGCCGGCCCAUGUAGGGUGGUCCCAGCCUGCGUCAGUCAGGCCACACUCCGGAGCCAGGCUUGGUGCAAACUCCCAGCUG